RNAcentral lists this ribosomal RNA (253 nucleotides) under uncultured bacterium. RNAcentral's name for it is "partial 16S ribosomal RNA". It matches the Rfam family "Archaeal small subunit ribosomal RNA", at positions 474 to 727 of the family's 1478-position model. The record is from RNAcentral.
UACCAGCACCCCGAGUGGUCGGGACGAUUAUUGGGCCUAAAGCAUCCGUAGCCGGUCCUACAAGUCUUCCGUUAAAUCCACCUGCCUAACAGAUGGGCUGCGGAAGAUACUAUAGGGCUAGGAGGCGGGAGAGGCAAGCGGUACUCAGUGGGUAGGGGUAAAAUCCUCUGAUCCAUUGAAGACCACCAGUGGCGAAGGCGGCUUGCCAGAACGCGCUCGACGGUGAGGGAUGAAAGCUGGGGGAGCAAACCGG